RNAcentral lists this ribosomal RNA (253 nucleotides) under uncultured bacterium. Its description in RNAcentral is "partial 16S ribosomal RNA". It matches the Rfam family "Bacterial small subunit ribosomal RNA", at positions 524 to 776 of the family's 1533-position model. The record is from RNAcentral.
UACGGAGGGUGCGAGCGUUGUCCGGAAUCACUGGGCGUAAAGGGCGCGUAGGUGGCGCGGUCAGUCAACGGUGAAAGUUCGGGGCUCAACCCUGAAUCGGCCGUCGAUACUCCCGGGCUUGAGCACUGUAGAGGCAGAUGGAAUUCCGGGUGUAGCGGUGGAAUGCGUAGAGAUCCGGAAGAACACCGGUGGCGAAGGCGGUCUGCUGGGCAGUAGCUGACACUGAGGCGCGACAGCGUGGGGAGCAAACAGG